RNAcentral lists this ribosomal RNA (433 nucleotides) under uncultured bacterium. RNAcentral describes it as "partial 16S ribosomal RNA". It matches the Rfam family "Bacterial small subunit ribosomal RNA", at positions 29 to 507 of the family's 1533-position model. The record is from RNAcentral.
AACGAACGCUGGCGGCAUGCCUAACACAUGCAAGUCGAACGAGACCUUCGGGUCUAGUGGCGCACGGGGGCGUAACGCGGGGGAACCUGCCCGUAGGUUCGGAAUAACUCCCCGAAAGGGGGGCUAAUACCGGAUAAUGUCUUCGAACCAAAGAUAUAUCGCCCUUGGUUGGGCCGGCGUUGGAUUAGCAAGUUGGUAGGGUAAAAGCCUCACAAGGCAACGAUCCAUAGCUGGGCUGAGAGGAAGAUCCGCCACACUGGGACUGAGACACGGCCCAGAAUACUAGGCGAGGGGGCAGAGGGUAAUACUGGCCAACGGGGUAAAUCCUGAUCCAGCAAUGCUGCGUGAGUGCUGAAGGCCUUAGGGUUGUAAAGCUCUUUUACCCGGGACGAUAAUGACGGUACCGGGAGAAUAAGCUCCGGCUAACUCCGUG